Molecule: ribosomal RNA, 484 nt
Filed under: uncultured bacterium
Lineage: Bacteria
Description: partial 16S ribosomal RNA
Rfam family: Bacterial small subunit ribosomal RNA
Source: RNAcentral
AUUGAACGCUGGCGGCAGGCCUAACACAUGCAAGUCGAGCGGAUGAAGGGAGUUCGCUUCUGGAUUCAGCGGCGGAUGGGUGAGUAAUGCCUAGGAAUCGGCUUGGCAGCGGGGGUUAACGUCCUGAAACGGGCGCUAAUACCGCAUACGUCCUGAGGGAGAAAGUGGGGGAUCUUCGGACUUCACGCGAUCAGAUGAGCCUAGGUCGGAUUAGCUCGUUGGUGGGGUAAAGGCCUACCAAGGCGACGGUCCGUAACUGGUCUGAGAGGAUGAUCAGUCACACUAGAACUGAGACACGGUCCAGACUACUACGGGAGGAAGCAGUGGGGAAUAUUGGACAAUGGGCGGAAGCCUGAUCCAGCCAUGCCGCGUGUUUGAAGAAGGUCUUCGGAUUGUAGAGCACUUUAAGUUGGGGGGAAGGGCAGUAAGUUAAUACCUUGCUGUUUUGACGUUACCAGCAGAAUAAGCACCGGCUAACUACGUG